Molecule: long non-coding RNA, 18402 nt
Organism: Mustela lutreola (European mink)
Lineage: Eukaryota; Metazoa; Chordata; Mammalia; Carnivora; Mustelidae
Exons: 10
Source: RefSeq, a predicted model, not a curated record
UUCAGUGUUCGCCUUCAAAGACUAUUUGGUUGUUUCAAUGGUAACAUGGAGUAGUUGUAACUUCUAACAAGGUUGUGCUAUGAGUGACACAUGAUGGGAAAUACUUAGCCAACAAUCAUCAUGUCAUCAUGUGGGUGGGUGUGGUCCAAUGGGUGGAAGGAUCGUGGGCAGACAGGGCAGACCUGAGCUCAUGGGGCUCAUUGAGCCUGAGGGCUCCCCCUGGGCUCAUAGGGCUCAUUGAGCCUGAGGGCAGCCCCCUGGCUGCUCAGGCCAGCUGUGAAUGAAACCCUGCCCUGCCAGUUCCUGUGGGUCUACACGUGCUGACAGCAUUGGGAAGUCAAAAUGAACCACCAAAAUGGAAAAGAACCGAGCAAACGUGUCAUUCCUCCACAAAGGACUUGGUUUCCCAGCCUCAGAGAGCUCAGGGGGCGCUGGUGGAGGUGAUAGCUCCUGGAGGUGAUAAAGAGGAGGCCCAGAAAACUUUGAGUGGCUAAAUACUCCGCCUGGGAAUGAAGAGAUCCGAGAGAAGCAGAGCUUCAUCUUGCAACCAUGGCCAAUCCUGGAGCAUCAGGUUUCCUUUUUCUGGUUCGGCGGGAGAGAGAGAGAAGCAAGAGGAGUCCACCCAUGGGAUCAGGUCCGUCCCUUCCGUCUGACCGGCCCCCACCUCGGCCCCUUGCCCAUCCCCGGAGUACUUAUAACCAUCGUCAGAGAAAUGAUACACUGGCUGACUCCUUUCUGCCAGACUCCACUGAGGAAACAGAAGCUGCCAGAUUGCUCCGUAAUCACCUCUGCUGUGUGGCCUGCCUCUGCCCAGGAUGCUGGCUCCCUGUGGGUGCGGUUGAUGACCCGGCCCCUGGCCCUGGACCCCCACCCCAGGUCACCUUCGCAGGCCCUUGCUCUGGCAAGUGCCACCCCCGCCCCCAACUCUAUGAGCAGACAGAUCUUUGGGAGCUUGCAGCUUAAAAACAAAGCAAAACCACUCUUCCUUGACCAUCCUUCCAUCCUUUCAACAGCAUGACAUCUUCAAAAGGUUGCAUAGAGUCACCGGCUCCCGUGCCUCAGUCCUUCCCCUCUCAAUUCACUGUCCUGGACUCUCUGAGUCCACCCGCCAUGCCACUGAACCGGUUCUAGCCAUGGUUAGGAGCCACCACGAUUUGCCAGAGAGCCGCUUGCGACCUGUAUGGGAGGUGACCCUCAGCGCUUUCCUCAGCCACCCUCUUCUCUCAGCGUCUACAGCACCCGCUCUCCUGGGAGGGUUUUCUCGGUGGGUUCCGUGCCUGCCACUUGCCUUCUUUCACUGUCCUGAGCAUCCUGAGUCUGACCUGGGGCCUUCCUCUCUCCUCCCUUCCUCUCCCUCCGUCCCCCUCUGAACUUCCAGACUCAUUCGCCCCAGUUUGUCUGCUCUGCUCCCCUCUUUAAACCUCGUUCCCUGGCAGGUGAUGGGCAGAUUCGGAGUUCCCACCCAAGCUCCCCAUCACGGCUGCUGGCCCUCUCCGCUUCCAUGCCCGAUAACAUCCCUAACCUGCCGUGGUCCACAUGGGGCUGCUGGUUCCUCCCCACCCCGUGUCCCUCAAACCUGUUGCUCCUCCUGUCUUCACCAUCUCACUGAGGGACCCCACAAUUUGUCCCCUUAUGUACUCGUCAGCAAGCCCUGUUGUCCCCUCCCCAAGAAGAGCCUAAUUCCUCCUGCUCUUCCCCCUCCCAGGCUCCAAGCUGCAGCCACAACUCCCCCUUCCCAUCCCCAAACCACUGUGAUAACCUGAUACUGCCCAUUCCUGCCCUCCACACGGGGCCAGAGCAGCCUCAAAAUACUAGAUCAGAUCAUCUCACUCCCUAGUGCAAACCCUCCAGUGGCUUCCUGUUGUGGGCAGAAUAAAAUCUAGAUUUUAUCUAGAGUAAAAUCUCGAUACCUUAUCAUGGCCUAAGAGGCCCUAUUGGAUCCAGUCCUGACCCUUCUCUGACCUUUGCAGGGGAACCCAGGCGGUAGACACCUGGAGCCUCUUCUGGCCAGUGCCCAUGCUGGCUUGUUCCCACCCAGGGGCUUUCAACUCGCUCUGCUCCCUCAUUUACAUGACUGGGUCAUUCCUGUCACUCAGGCCUCAGCUCAAAGGUCAUGUCCACAGAGGCCUUCCCUAGCCACAAAGUCUAAAUGAACCCCUCGCUCCCCAUCACUCUCUACCCCGAACCUUGUUCUAUAUUUGUUCUCGAAGUUAGCGCUAUUUAAAUGAUCUUUUCAUUCAUUUAUUUAUUUAUUCAUUUAUUUAUUCUCUAGCUCCUUCCCAUUUGUAUAGACUACACCCACCAGGGGACAGUAUACUUGUUUUUGUUCUGUGGCCUCAGCACCUAGAGCAACAGCAGGAGCCAACAAUAGUAAUUCGCUGAAUGACUCCAUUUGCCUCACUUACCUCUGUCUUUCCCGGGAAUGGCCCCCAGAGGGUGCAGGACAAGUAGCUCCCUCCUCUUUCUGUUGCCACUGAACUCACGUGGCAACAGCUCCUGUCGCUCACACCUGGAGGAAGGCAGGUGAGGAAAAUCUAGAACUUGACUUCCCGCGCUCACAGACGAGUGGGUGGUGGGAGAUGAAACAUCAGAAAGCCACAGGGCUGCCGUUUGAUAAAUGGCACGAGAGAGAGGGAAGCGCAGGUUGACACUGAAACUCAAGGAGGAGCGUCUAGCACGGGAGGGUGAGGUCAACCAGGUUUUCCUGGAAGAGGGGAUGCCGAAGGGGAGUUUUAAGGAUUGAGAGGAGUCAGGUAGGUGGAGAAGGGAUGGAAGGUGGGAACCAACACUGCAGCAGAAGGAGUGAGGGAGGCUCACAAGUCUUGGGAAGCCAUGGGGAGCGCGCAAGGAGGUAAGGAAGACUGGAGAUUGAGUUCGAGGAGGACAGGAGGUGGGCAUGGGAAGGUAGGAGACUGGACGAAGGAAGAGACCUUAUUGUUAAAGGCCUUGUAACAAAGCCACCGCCGUUCACUUUUAUCGAGCUCUCACUAUGUGUGAGGCACCGAGUCCUCUCAUUUCACCCCCUGACAGCCCUGUCGUCGGGUAGGUUCUGUCACGAUCUUCAGUUUACUGGUGGGAAAUGGUGAGUGACUAUCCUGAGGACGCACGGGAAGUAAGUAUGGACUCCGCAUCAAAGCCCUUGGAAACAUAUUGUAAAUGCUGUGAAACACAAGCCCUGGGUCUCCUGUGAUAUUUCUUGAUUUCUCUCUCUCCCUCUCUUUUUAGAAGGGGAAGGAGCAGAGAGAGAGAAUCUUAAGAAGGUUCCACACCCAGCGCAGAGUCCCGCACGGGGCUCCAUCCUACAACCCUGAGCUCAUGACCUGAGCUGAAACCAAGUCUGAUGUUUGGGUCACCUGGGUGGCUCAGUUGGCUAGAGGUCUGACUCUUGAUUUUUGGCUAGGGUCGUGAUCUCAUGAUUGUGAAAUAGAGCCCCAUGAGGGGCUCCACACUCAGCACGGAGCCUGCAAAAGAGUCUCUCUUUCUGCACCUCCCCGCCAAAAUAAAUAUAUAAAUAAAUCUUUAAAAAAAGUCUAGCAUUUAACUGACUGAGCCACACAGGGGCCCCCUUAAUUUCUCUCUCUGGGGCUUAGCUUUCUUUGUGAUAAAAUGGGACUGAUAGCAGUGUGGAGUUUGUGAGAAUUUAAUGAGAUAAUUCAUACAUAUAAAAGUGCUUAGCACUGAAUCAAAAUUAGUUCCUGCUCAGUAAAUAUGAGCUACUACUGUUAUUAUUAAAUUUCUGUUUUUGGAAAUAUUGAUACUGAAAGACUACUAUUAUACCUGGGGAUUCUUUUUUUCCUUGCAGUGGAAAUAGGACUUGACAGAGCCUAGAGUCUGACUGGCUCUCCUCUUUCAUUUAUGAUUGGUAUCUCAGUUUACUCCUUUAUACCAUAUUGUGAAUGUCUAACUUUGGUUCUUCCUCUUCUCUUCCUCUUCUUUUUCUCCCCUUUCUUUCUAUCUGCUAGUAUCUUCUUAGAUCCAGAUUGACAGAUAAAAAUACAGAACUGAUGUUUCCAUGGAAGAAUUAAUGCUUUACAUUUUUGUUUUCUUAUCAUAAAGUACUGCAUGCACACAUUAAAAAAAAUUCUUAAAAUACAGGGGUGCCUGGGUGUCUGAGUCAGUUUAAGCAUCUGACUCUUGAUUUCAGCUCAGGUCAUGAUCUCAAGGUGGUAAGAUUGAGCCCCACAUCAGGCACAGCUGGGAGCCUGCUUGAGAUUCUCUCCCUCUCUCUCUGCCCCCCACCUCUCUACAUAAAAUAUUUUUUAAAAAAGUCUAACAAUGCAAACGGAUAAAACACGAAAUGUAAAAGCCGACCUCUUUACCCACACCCUCAUAUAUAAUGUACUUGCAGUUGAACAUAAUCAUCUCUAUUAUUUCUUUUUUCCCAGAAAUUUGUAUGUGUAUAAAUAUACAUGAUCUUUGGAGUUUCAUUUAUAAUAAUACUGUAUUCUGCCCAAUUUUUUCACUUAAAAUAAUUUAGCUUGGAGAUUUUUCUUUUCACUAUGGAUAAAUGUAUUGAUUCUUCUGAACAGCUAGGUAGUAUUGAUUUCACAAGUUAUUAUAGUUCAUUUAAUGCUCUCUUGAUAGACAUUUAAAUUUUGCCUUGUUUUUUUACUCUUACAGAUAAUAUUACCAUGCUGUCCCUGUACAAUAUAGAUUUGCCUCCUUGUGCAAGUGUUUCUGUGGGAAAAAUUCCUGGAAGGAAAAUUUGCUGAGUUAAAGAAAAUGUGCUUUUAAAAUUUUAAUAGUUAUUGUCAAAUUGCUUUCCAAAGAUGUCGUGGCAAUUUGCAUUCCAUUAGUAAUAUGCGAGAGUUCCUAUUUCCCAUAUCCUUGAGAGUGAACAAAAUUUAAUUUUUGUGAAUAUACUAAGUAAAAAAACUAUAUUUGAUUUUAUCUUACAUUUCUUUGAUUAUAUAGAAAGCUGAAAAAAAUCUUUUCACAUGUUAAUUGUCUAUUUGCUUUUUUUGGCUGCAAACUGUUUACCUUUGCCUAUUUUUUCAUUGAAUUGUUUGUUUUUUAUUCUUGCUGAUUUUUAGAUCUGUUUGUGUAUUAAAGAAAUUUAUCUCCUUCCUGUUACAUAAAUUACCAAUUUUUUUUUCUAUCCUGUGGUUUGUCUCUUGAUUUUGUGUAUGGUAUUCUCUGUCUUGCCAAAGGGCUAAUUUUUUAUGUAAUUUUGUCUUUCUUCUAUUAUAUGUCUCUUGACCCUCACCUGUUCAAAAUUGGGGGAAAAAAUUACCAAUGAUUUUUCUAGUAUUGCUACAGUUUCGUAUCUUACAUUUUUAAGUUAUUGAUUAAGUUAGAAAUGAUUUGAGCCCAAGAAGUGAGGUAACCAGUGACUUGUCUGGCACUAACAUUUCUGAAUUAUUCAUAUUCUUCCAUGGACUUAAAAUAUCAUUUAUACUCUAAAUUCUCAAAUGUAUUUAGGUCUAUUUCUGGGAUCUCUGUUCUCCACUAACAUUUUGUUAUUUCCUGUACUUUCUCUGCAAUGUCUUUCUGUGUUUCCUGUAAUUUCUCUACCUGUAAGAUGUCUUAAUGUUGGGUAAAAUUAGUUCUCCCUCCUGUCAUUAUUCUGUUUAUAGUAGUACCGGCUAUUUUCACUCCUUUAUUAUUCCAAGCGCCCUUCGUAUCAUUUUGUCAGGUUCUCAAAAAAAAUUCUGCUGCCAUUUGGGUUGGAAUUACAAUUGCUUCAGGGAAAUGAAGCUAUGUUGUUCCGUUUACUUCUGUCUUCUUUUAUGUUCCCAAAUUAAUCAGGAUACUAUGGACUAUGCUGCAAGAAUAAUUAAAUGUUUAAAUCUCAGUAGAUUAAUUCAACAAUGUUUUGUUUCUCAUGCAUACAAAUUCCAAUGUGGUUCAGCUAGUCUUCGGGAUAAGGGUCCAUUUCAGUAGCAACUGCACUGCCCAGGCUAACCUGAUCUUACAGCUUUGCUCUCUCAACUCGAAGCCUCCAUAGACUGUGGGAGAAACAUUUAUGGUUAAACAAUUACCCAUGUGCUCCCUCAGAUUUCUGCCCUCCCCCCGCCCCCGAGUAGUUACAUGGGGGCCAUUAGACUAAUUCUAGACAAUGGGUUUUGAACUGAAAUGAUGUGUCUCACUUUGGGGUCAAAGCUUAGAAAAACCGAUGUGAAUUUUUCCUAUGCUCUCUUCCCUUGUUGUCCAAUUGCUGAGACACUCAGUUGAAAUGAUAUGGUCAAAGGCAGAUAGACUCCCUGGAGACUUUCGUGGCUCAUAUCAAACCUGGUGUGCACAUGAAAUAACCUUUAUUGUGUCAAGGUCACUGAAAUUCUUGCCAUGUGUGUGCGAAUCUGUAUAUAUAUAUAUAUAUAUAUAUAUACUGUUUAUAUGUGUGUAUGUAUACUGCAUAUAUGUGUGUGCGUAUAGAUGUAUAGAUGUAGAGAUACCUCCUAUCCUGACUAAUAUAAAAAUUAAUACCAAAAGUGAUAUGCUGCUGGAAAAAAACUUCAAAUAUUGGCUUGGCAAUCAGGUAGUAACAAUGAGAAAACUGAUUUUAGAGGCAGGAAGAAGGCAAAACAUUUGGUAAAGGUGUUCCUUGUGAUUAUCUUAAAGGUGGUUCAUUUACCAAACUUACAGUUCAGUGAGGAGAUGUCAGGAAACAGAACUUUAGGAUUAUAUGUGGUUGCUGGGGCACUUGGCUGGCUCAGUCAUUAAGCAUCUGCCUUUGUCUCAGGUGAUGAUCCCAGGGUUCUGGGAUCAAGCCCCACAUCGGGCUCCCUACUCCGUGGGAAGCCUACUUCUCUCUCUCCCACUCCCCCUUGCUUGUGUUCCUUCUCUUGCUAUGUCUCUCUCUGUCAAAUAAAUAAAUAAAAUCAUGAAAAAAAUUAUAUGUGGUUGCUACUGAUUGUGUUUAGCAAAGUAUUGAAAGAGAGAGAGAGAGAGACAGAGAAACAGAAUGAGUUGAAGAGGGUUGGCAAAAAAAGCAAAGAAAUAAAGCUUAUAUAAGAGGUCCCUCAGGGAUGCCUGGGGGGCUCCAUUGUUUGUCUCAUCUCCAUAGCAUCUGCCUUUGGCUCAGGUCAUGAUCUCAUGGUUCUGGGAUCAAGUCCUAUUGGUCUCCUCAUUUAGUGGGGAAACUUACCCCUCUGCCUGCUGCUUCCCUCCUGCUGUGCUCUCUGUCUCUCGCUCUCUCUCUGACGAAUAGAUAAAAUCUUAAAAAAAAAAAAAAAAAAAAAGAGUCAUCCCUCAAAGAGAACACUGAAUGUGGUUCCUUGCUCAAGGUAAUGGCUGGAAGCAGAUAGACAGAGCCUACUAUAUUUGUGAGAGAGUUGUACAGGACCACCAAAGAAACCAUAAAGCUGUUCUUCAAAGCCCAAGUUCCCAACCUCAAUUCCAGGCAGGAAAUGGGCUUUGAAAGCUGUGUAGUCCUAUGGAGAGACAACACCCCCAGUGCCCACAUUAGGUAUGACCCAGGAAGGUAACAGAACAGGAAAGAUUUCCCAGUCGGUGGUGCCAAGAAGUUCUGAGAACUGUCCCACAGCCUGGGAGUGGACCUGGGAUGUUGUGUCUGUAUCCAUGAUGUAUUGUUUAAUCAGGGUAGGGCAGUUGUCUUAUGUUUGCCUAAUCAGAGUCUAUGAGAAAUUUGAGAGUGGGACGGAGACGUUCCUUUUAAUCUGAGAGGCUUUGUUGUUCUGAGGUAAUAAGAACUAUUGUGGGGGUUGACCAUCUCUCAACCAUCAAGUGUGCUGAGAAUUCUGUAAGGAAAGCUCAUCUUUUCUUUAGAGAAGGAAAACAAAAAUGUUUCUUGUGCAGAAGCAGAGAUAAGAAACCAUAAGUCUGUUAUACUUAUGGGAGGAGGAAGGAAAGAGAGAGAGAGAAAUAUGAUUCAACCUGGUUCUCUGGGAGCUUUCUAUUUCUCCUGGCUCCCUCUAGUUUAAGUCCCAAGCUGCCUCCCAUGGGUUCUAGGAGAUACCCCUGCAUCAUUAUAGUCCAUCUCCUUUUCUUGUUUAAGUUUGAUUGUGUUGGUUUCUACCUUUUAAAAUUCAAAGAACCUUAAGGGAGGAAGUUCCCAUACCUUAUCACUGCAAAACAUCUCCAGGAAGGCACCUCCCCUUCCUUCCUGCUGUAUAGGUUACAGUCACAGACAUGGCAAUGAGAUUUCUCAGCCUGGUCUGAUUUAAAGUCAAUACAAGGGAAACUGGAAUAUUGACUCAUGCUUCCAUCCCCACCUACACUGGCCAAAUUUAAGGAUUAUCACUUAGCACCAACACUAAGAAAAGCAAGAAAGUCAAAUAAAACAUAAUGAUUCCAAUUUGCCUUGGAGAAAACUCUCCUCUUUAUUUUCCUUAUCCUUCACUCUCCUGAGCUCUGGAAAAGUUAUUUCCUAUUCAUCUCCUUUCUUCCUUCCUGCAACAUCCCCCACCUUCCUUUCUCACUCUUACUCGAUGACCUUACUGCUAUUCCACUGAAAAAAAAGAAAUUGCCAGAAGAUAACUUUCUUUCUUUCUUUCUUUUUUUUUUUUUUAGAUUUUAUUUAUUUAUUUAUCAGAGAGAGAGAGAGAGUAAGAGAGAGUGAGCACAGGCAGACAGAAUGGCAGGCAGAGGCAGAGGGAGAAGCAGGCUCCCUGCUGAGCAAGGAGCCCGAUGUGGGACUCAAUCCCAGGAUGCUGGGAUCAUGACCUGAGACGAAGGCAGCUGCUUAACCAACUGAGCCACCCAGGCAUCCCAAAAGAUAACUUUCUUACCCUUCCAGACUAAAUCUGCUAAACUACCAGCAAGCAUACGUGUUUUCUUGGCCCUCAGUCCAGUGCUUAUCAGCACUGUCCAAGAGAGUUGUCCUUGAGGAUAGAGAUGUCCAUAUUGUCUCUGUUCAAUACACAGGUUGCUUGCCACAUGUAACUAUUGAGCAUUUGAAAUGUGGCUGGUGCAACUAGGGCACUGACUUUUACAUUUUAUUUAAUUUUAAUUAAUUUAAAUUUAAAUGGCCACAUCUGGCUAGUUGGGUGGCUGCUGUGUAGGAUAACACAGAUACAGAUAAUUCUUGAGUUUCACUAUACAGGGAACAAAGAAAUGGGGUGGACAGUCACAGAGGGAUAGGAUCAGAGCUGCACUUUUUAAAAGGAUGGAUAAAUGAUAUUUUAGCACAGGAGAUGGAAAUGAUCCAGUAGAGAUAGAAAAAUAGAUGAAACGGGAGAAAGCAGAGUCAACUGUAGAAACAAAGUAGAUCCUAGGUAAAGGCAGGCCAUUGCAUAUGGUGGCAUAGUCUCAUAUGGUGGCCACUAGCCACAGGUGGCUAUUUAAAUGUAUGUUUGUUAGAACAUCAUGAAAUGUUAAAUUUAUUUCUCAGUCACGUUAGUCAUAUUUCAAGUACGUUCCAUAUUAGAUGUAAUUUCUAUCACAGAAGAAAUUGCUGUUAGUUAGACAGUGCUGCCUUUUCCUUUCUGUCUUCUUUUCGUAUUAUCAUUCUGCGUUUUGCAUAUUUUAAAAAAGUUUUUUUUUUAAGUUUUUAAGAUCGCCUUUACACACAUGCAUAGAUUUGAGAGCCAGAAAACCCUCCAUUUUUUUCAUUCUUUCCCAAUUCUUUUCAUUCUUUCUCAAUUUUCUACUCUCCAAGUCAUCACAUUGAAUUUUUUUAUCUUUUUCAAAAAUAUUCAUGUCUCUAAUUCUAAAUAAUUUUCUUGUACUGUUUCUCAAUUGUUUUCCAAGGUCUGGACACUGCUGCGAUUUCUUAUGAAAUGUGUGGAGUUAGCCUGCCCACACCACCUCCUCUAUCUCGCUGCACACACAUGAACACUUCCUGCCCCUAUCUCUCAACAGAGUCAAACAAUUAUUAUGGUAAGAUCCAUAUUUUGUGUUUUAACCCUCCGGCAACUUUAAAUCACACUGUAAAAUCCAAAAUCCUUACCGUGAUGUGCAAGACCAUCCCUCUUCUAUCCCCAGGCCACCCUGUUUUACCCUUGUUCGCCACACAUGGUUCACACUACGCCCUUGCAGUCCCUCCAAAAUGUUUUUAUUUCAGGGUCUUCCCACUUGCUGUUACUGCUGCCUAGAAUGCUCUACUCACAAAGCUCUCUCCUCCAGUCAUUCAACUGUCGCCUCCCCAGAGAGACUGUCCCUGGACACCUUACUGGAUGGGGGAAACUCUGGCAUUCUCUAUCCUUUUGUUCAGUUUAAUUUAUUUAAUUUAAUUUAUUUUAUUUAUACCUUACUGGAUGGGGGAAACUCUGGCAUUCCCUAUCCUUUUGUUCAGUUGAUAAAAUCCCACAGGUCCUAGAAGUAUAUUUAAUUAUCAAAUCUUCUUGGCUAAAAAUAUAUAUCGGUCUUUGUUGACCACAUAAUUCUAGUGAUCAAUUAGGAUACGUUCUAAAAUCUAUUGAUCCUGAACAGUACCUGGCCUUAUGUUUUUGUUUAUGUCUGUUUGUUCUCUUUGUUCUCCAUUAAAACAUAUGCUUCAUGAGAGGAGGGUCUUAGGCUUUUCUUUCAUUCCAGUGUCCCCAGCACCUAGAACGUCCUCUGGCACAUAGUUGGUGCUCUGGUGCUCGAAAGUUAUUUGUCUAAAUAAAUGAAUGAGUGAGUAAAUUGAUGAAUUUAGCCAUUUCCGAAGCUAAGCCAGUUUUGCAUUCACGUUGGUGGGAAAAGUGAGUUCUGUCCAGGCCAACCCACAGAAACCAUUCAGAUACUGGCCAUUUUCCACAGGCUGGGAAACUGUCCUGGGAGGUAGGGUUCAGACUCAUCAUCUCCUUGGCUCCUUAUGAUGACCUCUUAGAAGAGCACAGAGCAACUUGUUUCUUUGUUCUUUUAAAGUAAUCCUGUCUUAAUUAGGAGGUAGCAUGGACAUUCCUUUUUCAUCAUGGAUCAUUAGUACCUUGCUAGCAAAUCACUUACAUAGCUCCUGUCCGUGCUGGUAUCACUCUGACUAAGUGUUAUAGAUCAGCUUACUUGUUCUCCACUGGGCAGAAUUUGCUGUUAUAACAUCUCCUCCAUCCCUUCCAAUAAACCAAAGAUGGUAUUCAGUGAAGUUAGGACAAGAGCUCAGUAGUCUAAAAAGGUAACUCAGCCCUAUUGUUACCAUCUUAAUAGUUGAUAAAAUCCCACAGGUCCUAAAAGUGUAUUUAAUUAUCAAAUCUUCUUGGCUAAAAAUAUAUAUCAGUUUUUGUUGAACAUAUAAUUCUAGUGAUCAAUUGGGAUACAUUCUAAAAUCUAGGACAAAAUACAUUUUCAAACGUAACUUCUAUUUCUUUCGCAAAUGUAAUUUUAUUUUUCUCACAUACGCAAUGUCUUCAUCGCAGAAAUCUCAGAGAAUACAGUUAAACAGAAGAAAACUGAAAACAUCUAUAAUUAAUACUAUACCCUGAACAUUUAUUUGCAUAACUUCCAGGUCCUUCUGAGAGUACAGUUCAAUGUAUGCAUAACAUUAUUAAAUAAAUAAGCUUCACAUUCUUACAUGGAGAAGAUCCUCUGGAAAAGAGGUGGGUAUAAACAAAAAUGAAUGCUUUUGGAUUCAAUAAAAGGAUAAGAUACCUUUCAUCAGCAUAUUUUUGGCCAUUAAUAUCAAGCUUGGCUAUUCAUAAAAGUUCUGACCCUUGAAUAUUGUGUUCACUGUUCUUUGUAGAAUAACCAAAAGAAAGAAAGAAAAGAAAGAGAAGGCAAGGGUAGGGUAGGGAAGAAAGGGAAGGAAAAAAGCCUGUGUUAAUUGGCGGUGAUGCACGUAGCCUCAGUCUAUGUAAAGUAAUGAUCUGAACAAAAACCCUGAACACAUAUGGCUAGUAGAAUAGCUGUGGUUAAUAAUGCUUAUGUAAUCCAAAUAAAGUUAAUGGGUUUUAGGACCAAUCCCUGGGAUAUUUAAGGUCAAAGAGAAUGAAAUGGGAUGUGAGGGUGAUCUGGCUGGGACAUCUGUUGUGUCCCACUGAUCCGCCAGGGUUGAUUCGCCUGAUCUGGCUGCCUCGGCCGGUGUCCACGUCCUCCAUCACCGCCCCACAUAUGUCUCUCCCCAAGCAAUGUGCUGGGGGGGAAGAGGACCACUUACCCAGAUAGAGGAGUCUCCCGUCAAGGGUAUAGGAAUAGCUGGGCUCCUCACUAGAACUUCAAACAAGCUCUCAAGGUCCGUCCUAGAAGCUUAAAAAAAAAAAAAAAAGAAAAGAAAGAAAGAGAAAGAGAGAGAAUUAAAUGAAAACCAGGAUUCUCAAUCUCAGAAAAGAUUGCUACCAAAGACAUAUUAUCCAGUCCCUCAAUUAUAUCCAAUGUUUGGGGUCCAGUUUUUCUUUUUAAAAUUGAGCACUUAAAUAAAUAAAAUAAUAAUAAUACUCCAUAGUGUAUAUGGACCACAUCUUCCUUAUCCAUUCGUUUAUUGAAGGGAAUCUUGGUUCUUUCCAUAGUUUGGCAACCGUGGCCAUUGCUGCUAUAAACAUUACCUUCCCCUCUUUUUUUUUUUUUUUUUAAAGAUUUUAUUUAUUUAUUUGAUAGAGAGAGAUCACAAGUAGGCAGAGAGGCAGACAGAGAGAGAGAGGGGAAUCAGGCUCCCUGCUGAGCAGAGAGCCCGAUGCGGGACUCGACCCCAGGACCCUGAGAUCAUGACCUGAGCCGAAGGCAGCGGCUUAACCCACUGAGCCACCCAGGUGCCCCACCUCCCCCUCUUUUUUUAAUAGAAUGGCAGCCAGAACAAAUAUUUCUUUCUAUUUAUUCAAAAAAUAAUAAACCAUUUUGAACUCACUUAUUUUGCUAAAGAAGUAGUGGACCAAAAGGAAACAUUCAAGUAUUAUCAGGACUGAAUCUAAAUUAAACUCAUAGUCCUUUUCUUUUGAAUUUCUGCUCUGAGGAUCAGUGGGACUGAAGAGAUGUUUUCCACAUAUGUAGAGGUAGAGGAAAGGUUUCUGGGCCCUGCUGUGGGAGUAACUGAUCCUCAGAGUCAUUAGUACAUUCUGUCUGUAGGGCAAGGGCACAUAGAGUGAUCUCUGCAUGUACUUUGUAUCUCAUGCUACAAAAGCUUCAGGGGUUGAACAGCACAGCUGUGCUUUCCACCUUCAUCAGGUUCAUUGCUGAGGAGGAGAUGAAUAUGAAACAAACAAGUCUUUAGGCCCAAAGGAGAACGAAUGACUUUAGGAGUGAAUAACUGGAGAUCCAAUCUUUGUCUCCAGGCUUGAGGUAAAGCCUUUCUGAGGAAGUCACCAUUCGGUGGAAUCACCUGAUAAAAGUUGAAGAGGAAGUUGAAGGAGAGGUUGGUCUCCACCCCACCCCUUCCCCAGAACUUCUGGUGAGAGGCAGCAAACAUGGAAAGUCUCAGAAGCAGGCCUUCACCAAACUAUAGGAAGACCUCUGUAGCUAAGGAAUGAGUAAGGGAGAGAUGAGUUCUUGGCUUAUUCUACUGCUACACGUAUAAGCACCAUUAUUUUUUUCAAAGAUUUUACUUAUUUAUUUGACACAGAGAGACACAGUGAGAGAGGAAACACAAGCAAAGGGAGUGGGAGAAGGAGAAGCAGGCUUCCCACAAGCAGGGAGCCUGAUGCGGGGCUUGAUAUCAGGAUCCUGGGAUCAUGACCUGAGCGGAAGGUGGCUGCUUUAUGACUGAGCCACCUAGGUGCUCCUAUAAGCACCAUUAUAAAUAGGGAUGGUGGAUAUUUGGGAAGAGAACUAUCAAACUGUGGUGUUAAAUCCACAGAAUACAAAAUCACCCCCUUCCUUUUAUAAUUCUAAUCAGUCCUCCAUAGUUUCCUUUCUUUGCUCUCAUCUGAAAGGUUGAUGGGCUCCAUAGUUCUGUCCUUGCUCUUGGUCCUUGUUCGUUUUUUUUUUUUUUUUUUAAGAUUUUAUUUAUUUAUUUGACAGAUAGAGAUCACAAGUAGGCAGACAGGCAGGCAGAGAGAGAGGAGGAAGCAGGCUCCCUGCUGAGCAGAGAGCCCGAUGUGGGGGCUCGAUCCCAAAACCCUGAGAUCAUGACCUGAGCCGAAGGCAGAGGCUUAACCCACUGAGCCACCCAGGUGCCCCUCCUUGUUUGUUUUUAUGCUGCACACUCUCCUGGAAGAUCCCUGGUGUUUCUCAAGCAGGUCUGACAGGCUUCUACCCCAGGGCCUUUGCCCAUCCAUGUCCUUCCACAGAGGACUUUCUUCUUCCUGUCUUCUCAUGGGUUACACUCUCUUAUUCUCUCUCCUAUUAGGCUACAUCUGCUCAGCUGUAGCUCUUCUGAGAGGAAUUCUCUGAUCCCUUAACACUCUCUAUUUCCUUACUGUCCUUUAUUUUUCUUGAGAGUACUAAUAUUACCUGGCAUUGUAUGGUAUUUUCUUUUUUAUUCUAGGUCUUCUUUCAACUAGAUUGUAAGUUCCCUGAUCCCAGAACUUUGUCCAUUGUUCACUGCUGCAUAAACAUUCUAGCUACCCAUAUAGUGUUACUGGUACAAAGUAAGCAAUGGGUAUUAGUUUCACGGGCAGAUUAAUGAGUACAUGAAUCAAUGAUGGAAUGAAAUUCAUACUGUCCAUGGAUUCAGCUACUACCCACAUGCUGAUGACUCCAAAAUCUACACUUCCUGCCCCUCCCUCUUGAAAGCCAGAUCCACUUACCCCAACUUCCUGUGAGACAUAUGUGUUGUCACGAUCUAGAGGCACUCACAUUUACUUGCCCCAAACGGAACUCAUCACCCCCAGUAACCUAAACUUGCUAUUCCUCUUGUGUUCCCUUCUUUUGUGAAUGACUCCACCAUCUGCCCCUUUGCCCAAGCCAGAAACCUGAGAAUCAUGUUCUAUUUGUUCCUCUCCCUUAUCCUCCACAUUCAGUCUCUAAAUCCUAUUGAUUCUACCCCCUUUGGCUUGAUCCUUGUCCUGUACAUCCCCACUGACACCAUCUCCUUCACUUGUUUAUUGCUUCUGACUACUUGACAUCCCAUAAAGCUUGUCUCCCACCAAUUCAUGCUUUACUGUGCCACCAGGGAAAUCUUUCUAUAGUGUGCUGUAGUCAUGCUUACCAGUCUCCAGUGCCUACUCUUUGCUGAAAGUUAACAGCCAAGCUUCUAGGUAUGACAUGCAAAACCACUUAAAUUAAGUCUCCAACUAAAUUCUAGAAUAGGUCUCCUGCUGGCUCUCCUCUUAUCUCUGUUUUUGCUCCACCACCACCAUUCACAGUAGCACAAUGAUGAGCAAGGAAUAUUUUCAAUACAUAUCUCUGGGUCACAUUCUCAAAAAAAGUAUGUUUUUCUUAGUUAUGCAGGACCUUCAUGUUUCUGGAUAAAGGGGAGAGUCCUUUAAGACAAUGUCUCUUAUGAUGAUGAUACUCUUAAGAGAGUCUUAAGACCUUUCCAAAAGUUUGCCACUCUGUGGAAGGUGUAGAGCUAUGCCUUCUGAAGGAGCCUGUUCCCAAGUGUGAAAGGAAGACCUGUUAUGUUUUCAACUUCAUCAUUUCCAGGGAAGAGGUUCCAGGGUUCCUCAGAGCCUGCAUCCGAUGGGAAGCCAGGGAACAAGGACCUGGGAAAGCACAGCUGGCAAGAUUGCAGCCCCUAACCCACGAAACAGCGUACAGAAGAGUAAAUGAGCUAAGACCAUACGAGCAUAGGACUCUAAAGCCUAGAGACUGUGGCUCUGAAUAAACACAGAAAAGAAUUUAGAUGCAAGUCAUGUAAAGAGGCCAGGAUGAGCUUCCAAGCAUUCAGAAUCUUACAAUGAUGGUGGUGCUAGAUUGGUAUUUGAUGGAGAGAUGAUCUGAUGCUGUGACAGACCAAGUGUGGACUAGCCUGGAUCUGCAUCUUCUUGCUGGGAGAGCCAUCUCUGUAGUCAUUCUCUCUACUGGGAAAUGGACUUAUUUAUCUACUUACUGGAAGUUUGAACCAAUUCCACAUGCCCUCUCCACCUCAGAAAAACAGCAAAAUCUUAUUUAUAUGGAGCCAUGAGUAAAUGAAGAAUACAUACCAUGUGUAUAUCAGAAAACAAAGCAGACAUCAUUUCCUGCUCUUGUGGAGCUUGACUAUGGAGGAAGGAGACAACAAGAAAAAUUAGCUGUUCUUUCCCUGGCACUCAAAAUUCAAACCCUGCUGAGAAGUUAUCCUGCAUCACUUUUCCAACUAGCAAAACUCCCAUCAGAGAGCGCCAACUAUUUUUGAGAUCUUCAGAGCAUUUCAAAUACAAUGUCACUCAACGAUGGAGAACCUUCUUGGGGACAGGCACCAGACUCAUUGUGGAGAACACAGAGGCGUAUCAGUGGCACAUCCUGUCCUCUGGGAUCUGACAAGGUCAAGGAGAUGCCCAUGAAAAUAACCCAAGGCAGGUGGGAGAAAUGGCACCACACAAACUUACAGGGAAAGAAAGUGAGAAGUUUCUUCCUCAGAGCCUGAGACAUAGGCCCAUGUCUUGUCCUUUCCAAGACUGAGAAGACUUUCUCUGUUACCUAAUCCUGCAACAUCUGUCUUACUUUGAAAUCAGGCCUCUUUGUGGAAACGCCAGCUGAAAAGUCCACUAUGGAGCAAUUGCAUUCGUUGGAAUGCAUUUCUACCAGGUGUCAGGUUUUCUUAGCCUUCGCCUUCUUUUAGACCUCUCAGGGUGUCAACAUGGCCUCUGGAGGAGGGCACUGACUGAAAGGCAGCGUGAGGGUUCAAAUGAAGCCCUGGAGCUUUGUCAGUGGAGCCACAUCAUGGCUAUGAGCUCUGGAGAAUUGCAAGAGACAGAGAAGUUUGUGUUUCUGGGAAGACAAGACCAAGCACCAAGCAGUUAGCUGAGAUGCUCCCUUCUCUGUGGGCUUAAUGAAUGAUACAAUUAAGUUCACAGGUACAGUGUGAACUGUUUUAUUUAUUAAAUUUCUCAUAGGCAUUUCCAUAUUAAAUGACCUUUUUGAAAAACCAAGAAAUAGUUUCAUUUUUUUAGUAAUAUUACAUGUGGUAAGGGUAGGAGUGGGAUGGGGCCAGGUGGAGCUAGUGCUGACAUUAAAAGCAAGAGACUCAGAAGCCCUGUUUCAGUCCAUAUGCAAAUUUUGAGAAGUCAUUUAGCUGCUACCUCAGUUUUCCUAUCUGUGAAAAAUAGCCCCUUAGCCCAGGCCACCCACCUGACACCCAUAUGAACUGUGUACGUGGCCACAUCAACUUUCCAGUACCACAAUUUCCAUUUGGACCAGUCUCAGUUCCUAAAGGGCCAACAGUAAGUUUCCCAUCCCAUGGCCUCUCGGUUCUAAGACUGAGCCCUCCUACAUCCUCAAUCUCAUGAACUGACCAGGUCCUACCACCACCUAACAUUGCUCCCCUUCACACCCCAGUGGGACAUCUUCUCCCUUAUGUCACUGCCUUCCAGGAAAGACCACCAGGAACACCCCAGCAUAACCAGUGGAUGUUUGAGUGUGGGAGUGUUAGAAAAGACCUACAGGAUGUAGGCUUGUGCUUGCUGGUUUGGGGGAUUGUUCAAGGGAGUAGGGCUUGCUCUAGAUCGGGUGCUAUUCAGGAGGCUGGCUCAUUCUCUGGUUGGUAUCAUUAUAAAUGUUAGGUAGGGGGAGGGCAGAUUGCAGGGAGACUAGGGGUGUAAUUGAUAAAGAAGCAGCCAUCUGCCAUAUUAGCUGGGAGAGAUGUUUGGUAUAAUGACUUGGACAAGGUUCAAGUCUUGUCUGUGUUCAGACAUGAUUAUGAAGUGGUCUUGUUUUUAUCUUGAUCCAUCAUGAUCACAGAGUGGCCUUGUCUGAUGCUGAGAUUCCCUGAAAUUAUUUUCCUUCAAUACAGAAGAACGCCAAGACUUAGCUAGUGGUGCCAAGCCCUCUCAGAGCAACACCAGAGAUGGCACCAGGCCUGCAGUUUUCCUUCUCAGCCAGGAGGGUCUCCUUAGCUGUUGAGGAGGAGGCAGGAAAGACAAGAAGUACACACAGUUUAAGGAGGCCACUCUCAGAUACUGGCCAAGCCCUUGCAUGACCCCAACAUGGAGUGAUUCCUUACGUGUCAUGCCUCUCUCCCCUGCAUUGCCUCACCUCUGUCCUUGUCUGUGAAGUCCUCUGCUUUUCCUUCUUUUUUCACCCUAAAUCCUACCCAGAUCAGAUACAGACAUACCAAGACCACUGAUGGCGUUCAGGGCUCCUACCUCAAAAUAUGGCACCUUAGCCUACUGGAUAUUUUAAGCUGAAGGAAUUUGAGAACAUGGCAGAAGCAGGAAGGUCAGUGUGACCUCCUUCCCAUCUCAGCCUUCUUCCCCAAAAUAAGUCAUAAAGUCCUCAUGUGAGACCCCGUGCCUUUGUUACACCCAGUCCCUGGGGGAAAGAAGCAUGCUAUCUCUAAAGACAAAGGGACACCAAGAAGAAUCCUAACAAACAGGACUUGCUAGGUUUCCCCAGUUUACUCCUCUUACCAGAUACUCCUCGUCCUGUCAUAUUCCCCCAUGACUGUCCACUCUCCAUCAAACCUGGCAUAAAAGCGCACAGGUCUAACUGCUUCUUCAGGUCUUCAUGUCCUUAUGAAGGCUUCAGCGUUGUAGAAGACUUACACUAAAUAAAAUUCACGUGCAUUUCUUCUGUUUA